AAUGUAUUAAAAACAUUAAAAUAAGUAAAACAAAAAGUAAUAAAAACAUUUUAUACUUAUCAUCUUCUCCGAACCACCGGAACACCAUGGCAAGAAGAACCAAGCUUCGGCCUUGCUUCAAUUCAUGGAUGUUUGGAUUGAACGCGAGAUUUGAGUACAUUCAUGAUUUGGUGUAUGACGGGGGUUUGGAGUGGAGAUGGUACUAGAGGGAGAUAUCGGUAUUUUACCCGAGUAAAUCGGAGUUCAGAAUUUGUUGCGAACUCUCGCAUUUUACUUUCUGUUUGGCGUGAUUCGGGUGGAUCAGCUCUUACAAGCUUUUGUUCAGCUCUUUUGAGCUUCUGUUGGCAUGUUUGGGAGGACCAUCUCUUAUGAGCUUCUGUUGACGAUGUACUCUUACCUAUUAUCGGAAGUUCGAUCGGGUUGGAAGCUUAUCGAAGAUCUAUCACACUAUCCAUCGGUUCUAUUGGUACUUUCGGAUGUUUAGGUUUUGGUUAUAAUGCAUGUAUAGUUAUUCUGGUUAAUGUUGGCUAUUAGUAUUUUGUUGAGAUUAGCCACUUAUUUGGCUUGUGUUUUGGCACAUUUUGGUUUGUGCAUAUUUACCUUAUAUGGUUGAUGUGUGGUUUGGUUUAUGGUUGUAUAGUGAAAAGUAAAAUGUUAGCUAAA
Molecule: long non-coding RNA, 663 nt
Organism: Gossypium arboreum
Lineage: Eukaryota; Viridiplantae; Streptophyta; Magnoliopsida; Malvales; Malvaceae
Exons: 3
Source: RefSeq, a predicted model, not a curated record